RNAcentral lists this long non-coding RNA (226 nucleotides) under Elaeis guineensis (African oil palm). Its description in RNAcentral is "long non-coding RNA (EGUI_LNC042162)". Lineage: Eukaryota; Viridiplantae; Streptophyta; Magnoliopsida; Arecales; Arecaceae. The record is from RNAcentral.
CAAGGAUAGUGCUCUUUCUUCACCUUGCUUCAAGAGUUCUAGCCUCUAGAACUCAACUAGCCACCAAUCGAUCAGAUCUUCCUCUAGAACUGAGUCUGAACCUUUCUGAACCAUCCACUAGACUUGACUACCUUUUUUGAGACCUCUUAAACCCUUAGAGCUAUUAGGAUUAGGCUUGUCUUAAAAGAACAAGCCUUGUCCUAAAACUUGGAGUUGUAAGAGAGGG